UCUUCCGCAAUGGACGAAAGUCUGACGGAGCAACGCCGCGUGAGUGAUGAAGGUCUUCGGAUCGUAAAACUCAGUUGUUAGGGAAGAACAAGUACCGUUCGAAUAGGGAGGUACCUUUACGGUACCUAACCAGCAAGCAUCGGCUAACUACGUUCCAGCAGCCGCGGUAAUACGUAGGUGGCAAGCGUUGUCCGGAAUUAUUGGGCGUAAAGCGCGCGCAGGCGGUUUCUUAAGUCUGAUGUGAAAGCCCCCGGCUCAACCGGGGAGGGUCAUUGGAAACUGGGGAACUUGAGUGCAGAAGAGGAGAGCGGAAUUCCACGUGUAGCGGUGAAAUGCGUAGAGAUGUGGAGGAACACCAGUGGCGAAGGCGACUCUCUGGUCUGUAACUGACGCUGAGGCGCGAAAGCGUGGGGAGCGAACAGG
This 423-nucleotide ribosomal RNA is filed under the name uncultured bacterium. Its description in RNAcentral is "bacterial SSU rRNA". It matches the Rfam family "Bacterial small subunit ribosomal RNA", at positions 362 to 776 of the family's 1533-position model. The record is from RNAcentral.